GAAAUUGAAAAAAAAGUAAAGCAGAGGAAUUAGGAGGGAGUUCCUACCCCUUAUAGAAAAAACAGCAGCACAGUCCCGUUUUCUUCCAGUGUGGAUUCCCUUCCCCUGUAAAUCUCUCUCAUUCGCAUAGCUAGGGUUUUUAUUUCGUUCGAAACGCCCCGCCUCCUCCUUUCGUUGCCAGUGCGUAGUCGUUGAGAAGGCGUCGUUCGGACUUCUGUUUGUAGUGAUCGCUUUUGUCCAUCAGAAUCCACUCGAUACAAGGUUCAAAAUGCCUCAACGUUCAGAAAAAGAAAGAGGAAGAGAUAUUAGUCACUCUGAGUUUGAAGAUUAUGAGUACCGAUAUUAUAAAGAAUUGAAGAGAGGAAGCAUAACAGUUAGAAUUUCAAGUUCUCUAUAUAAAUGUCCAUUUUGUGAUGGAAAUAGGAAGCGGGAUUAUCUUCUGAACGAGCUUCUCCAGCAUGCUUCUAGAAUUGGGAGCUCAAAAAGUUGGGGAUUUAGAGAGCAGGCUCGACACUUGGCUUUGAAGAACUAUAUCAAAAGGUAUCUGAAUGUAAAGGAUGGCUCUCGACCUCCAAUUAAAUUGAACAGCCCCAAUUUAAGGGACAACUCUCAUUCCGUCAUCCAACCAGAUUGCACUAAAGUAGAGCAAAGCUCCUCUCUACCCGUGACAAAAGGGCAAUGCUCCAAUGUCAAGGAUGUUCCUCGACCUAGCCUCAUACCAGAACAUCCCAUUGUCUCUUGCAAUGAGGAGGAGCAGCAGCUUGUUUGGCCUUGUAUGGGCAUUGUUGCAAAUAUAGCAACAAGUAAAUCAGCAGAUGGACGACGUGUUGGGGAAAGUGGUUCAAAACUCAGAGAUGAACUCAAGGGAAAAGGUUUUAAUCCGGUUAGAGUUCAUCCUUUAUGGACUCGUUUUGGUCAUUCUGGGUUUGCCAUUGUGGAAUUUGAAAAGGACUGGGAUGGCUUCAAGAAUGCAAUUAUGUUUGACAAAAGUUUUGCGCUUGACCGUCAUGGGAGGAAGGACUACUAUGCAACUCACCCUCAAGGAAAUAGAGGAAAUAGAUUGUAUGGAUGGGUUGCCCGACAUGAUGACUAUAAAGCGCCAGGUCGUAUAGGUGACCAUCUUCGUAAGAAUGGGGAUUUGAAGACUGUGUCUGGUAAGGAGGAGGAGGAUCAACUCAAGGCUGAAAAGCUUUUGUCGAACUUAAGCAAUAACUUGGAGAAGAAGAAUAUGCACCUCAAAGAAAUGGAGAACAAAUAUCUGGAGAUCAGUGAAUCUUUGACCAAAUUGAUGGGACAAAAGGAGGAAAUGCUUAAAACUUACAAUGAAGAAAUAAGAAAGAUGCAAAAGAAUGAACGUGAUCGUUUCAAGGAGAUCUUCUUAGAGCAUGAGAAGGCCACACAACAUUUGCAAGCUCAGAAGACAAAACUAGAACAGCAGGAAAAGCAGUUGCAAAAACGCUUUGCCCAGAAUGACAGUGAGAAAAGGAGACUUGACCGUGAAAAGAAGAAAAAUGCGAGAGCAACCCUUGAGCAAAAGAAGGCAGAUGAAGAUGUCCUAAGAUUGGCUGAAGAACAGAAGGAAGAAAAGGAGAAAUGGCACAGAAAAAUCAUUGAACUAGAAGAACAACUUGAUGCCAAACAGGCAUUGGAGUUGGAGAUGGAACAGAUGAGAGGUUCGUUACAAGUGAUGAAACACAUGGAGAAAGACGAAGAUAUGAAAGUCAAGAUGAAAGCACUUGAAGAAGAUUUAGUAGAGAAAGAAGAAACGUAUGAAGGCUUGGAAGAAUUAAAUCAAACCCUGAUUGUCAAGGAGCGGAAUACCAAUGAUGAAUUGCAGGAAGCUCGUAAGGAACUAAUAAAUUAUUGGAGAGAUGCUCCUGUUUCCCGUGUCAUCAUUGGUGUUAAGAGGAUGGGAGAGCUUGACGUUAAACCAUUUCUCCCUGCCGCCAAGAGUAAAUAUCCUCAAGAAGCAGAAGAGAAAGCUCUAGAGCUAUGUUCAUUUUGGGAGGAUCAACUAAGAGAUCCGAGCUGGCAUCCAUUUAAGAUCAUCUUGGAUGAGAAACAAAAUGCUAAGGAGAUUAUUAAUGAAGAGGAUGAAAAUUUGAAGAAUUUGAAGGAGGAACUUGGUGUGGACGUUUAUAAUUCUGUGAUUACAGCUUUGGCUGAAAUGAAUGAGUACAACCCAAGUGGCAGGUAUAUAAUACGAGAGCUGUGGAAUUACAAGGAAAAAAGGAAGGCUACCCUCAAGGAGGGAGUAUUGCAUAUAUUGAGGCAGUGGAAAGCAAACAAACCGAAGAAAGCGAGGCGUUAGAGGUAAGCUUAUGUUAGAGCUGCAGAAUUCAUACAAAAGGAAGAACUAAAGUAGGGGUUGCAGCAGAAGACUAUUGUUACCGGUGGCUGCCUGGCCGGGGAUUCUGUGCUUGCAUCUUCAAUUAUGUUUCCAGCCUGGGUCAUUUGUUUGUUGGGAUGCUGUGGAAUGUGAGUUCUAUUAUUUGUAGGGUUUAGCAUUUAGGGAUAUAGUAGAAAGAAAUAGUUCUGCGUAUGGCGUGAAUUGCCAUAAGAGGCAAAUUAUAAUUUAGGAUGCUCAACUGAUCUAGGCAAUUUAUAUUAGAUAUUUGUUUCAAAGAUGUUGCUUAUUUGGACCACCAGAAAAUCAAUGAAAUCACAGACUAGUUUAUGUUCA
Molecule: RNA transcript, 2683 nt
Organism: Tripterygium wilfordii
Lineage: Eukaryota; Viridiplantae; Streptophyta; Magnoliopsida; Celastrales; Celastraceae
Gene name: factor of DNA methylation 4-like
Exons: 8
Source: RefSeq, a predicted model, not a curated record